This 206-nucleotide ribosomal RNA is filed under the name uncultured bacterium. RNAcentral describes it as "partial 16S ribosomal RNA". It matches the Rfam family "Bacterial small subunit ribosomal RNA", at positions 524 to 726 of the family's 1533-position model. The record is from RNAcentral.
UACGUAGGGUGCGAGCGUUGUCCGGAAUUAUUGGGCGUAAAGGGCUCGUAGGCGGUUUGUCGCGUCGGGGAGUGAAAACUCAGGGCUUAACCCCUGAGCCUGCUUCCGAUACGGGCAGACUAGAGGUAUGCAGGGGAAGAACGGAAUUCCUGGUGUAGCGGUGAAAUGCGCAGAUAUCAGGAGGAACACCGGUGGCGAAGGCGGCC